CAAGACUGGGAGUGGGGGGCGUUGGGAGGCUGAGGGCUUGGACGGCAGCGGGGUCCUCUGCCAAGACCACGCGCCUGGGAGGUGAGGAGCCUUUGGACCUCGAUCUCGACUGCACCCCUGCCUCGAUGCGUGAACUCGAGUAACCCUUCUCUAGGCCCUGAGGUUGGUUAUAAAGUGGUCGACUUAUUCAUUCAUUGAUUCACUUUU
Long non-coding RNA from Lutra lutra (Eurasian river otter), 207 nucleotides. RefSeq lists it as uncharacterized. The record is from RefSeq and is a predicted model, not a curated record. The transcript has 2 exons. NCBI's taxonomy places the organism in Eukaryota, Metazoa, Chordata, Mammalia, Carnivora, Mustelidae.